Molecule: ribosomal RNA, 2043 nt
Filed under: Triticum aestivum (bread wheat)
Lineage: Eukaryota; Viridiplantae; Streptophyta; Magnoliopsida; Poales; Poaceae
Description: partial small subunit ribosomal RNA
Source: RNAcentral
AUGGAGAACUUGGUUAAAGUGCUUAGCGAAUGGGAAAUCCAGUUGCUAGUUCUUCUAAGUUUUACCCUACAGGUGUUCCUCUUCUUUAAUGGCGGAGCUCGGCGAAAUAGCACUGAUGCGUUGCUUAGGUUUUCUUUGUGGGUAGCAUAUCUUGGUGCAGAUUUGGUAGCAAUUUACGCCUUGGGAUUCCUCUCACGGCACAAGGAUGACACCAUUGGAAAGGAUACAUUAACGAAAGCACAUCCACUUGCUUUCCUCUGGGCACCUUUCCUCCUCAUGCACCUUGGUGGGCAGGACACUGUAACCGCAUUUGCCAUUGAGGACAACAACUUGUGGUUAAGGCAUCUUUUGAAUCUGGUCGUUCAGGUAGGUGUGGCCUUGUAUGUGUUCUGCGGGUCCAUGAUGGGUCGCAGCCACCAUAGUGUGCUUCUUCCAGGUAUAUUUGUGUUCAUUUCUGGAAUUAUCAAGUACAGCGAGAGGACAUUGGCUCUCAUGUAUGGGGACCUAAAGAACGAUAGCCAAAAUACCAUUGGAAAUGUAAACAAUGAGGACUUGAAUAGGCUUGUGGUUCAUGGCAGAUACCUUGGCAUUUUUGCUGCUGUUCUGAAGUCCGCACCAGGCAUCCGAGCACUCUUUGCUGGACGCACCUUGCACCAGAUGGAAGUUCACCACCGAGAGGUAGUGACAUCACAUAUUCAUAUGGGCCAUUUACCCAAGUUGCUGGAGGUUGAGCUUGACUUGAUGUAUGAUGAUAUCUACACCAAGGCUAUGGUGCUUCGGACAAAGAGUGGCAUUUUAUUCCGGUGUGUAUCUCAAGCAUCUAUGGGGGUUGCCUUUGUGCUCUUCAUUGUCAGCAAUAAGCACCCAUACAAUAGAGAAGACCUUGCAAUCACAUAUGUGCUAUUCAUAGGAGGUUUCUGUCUAGAAAUUUGUGCAGUAUUUAUCUUGUUGAUGUCACCAUGGACAUGGGCAUGGUUGAAGGCUCGAAAUUGGCAUUGGCUGGCUCGCAUCUCCUCGUCUCUUCUGUGCAGCGACAUUGGACGGCCCAAGAUCAGGCCUUUGUGGUCAAAUUCCAUGGGGCAAUACAACUUUUUGUGCUACUUAGGUUGUGAUCAACACUCAAGCUGGCUAUCCAGGCUGGUGAAGAAAGUGACCAAGAUAUCAAGCCUAGUGGUCAGCAGAAACAAAGAGGUAAAGCCACUGUUGUGGACGAGCAAGUUAUUGGACACAAAGCACGUUGAGGUGGAUAAGGAGAUCAUGGACUCUCUUAUAUGGAUCGUCUGCCAUUACAGUCCAGAUGAAUCACCAAUGGAUGCCAGGGAUUGGCCGAAGCUUGGCCCAUUGCUGAAUAAGUUACUACCGGACUACGGUGCAAGUUUUGGUUAUGCUAUUGUGUGCUUUCAUAUAUUCACAGAGGCACACCUAAGAAGUCUCUUACUCCCGGAUCUUUCGGAUCGAGAAAAAGUUUUGGUGAGUGCUUGCCGGAAGUUGUCCAACUACAUGCUCUACCUUCUGGUCACAUAUCCUGAGAUGUUGCCGGUCAGUGGUACUCCAGAACCCACAUUGCUAUUCUUUCUUCGGAAAACUAUUCCACAUGUUUCUGACAGGGGUGCCAGUGCUGACAUUUUGCCUAUGGUCAACGAGCUAUUAGUAGAGUUGGGGCUAAUUGAAGUUGAUUUAAGCGGCACAGAAACAUUAAAUGAGAUGAGAGACUUAUGGACAAGGUUGCUCAUCUACUGCGCUGGUAAAUCCCGUGCAGAGAUGCACGCCGCACAGCUGAGCAGAGGAGGGGAGUUUCUCACAUUUGCUUGGUUGCUCAUGGCCCACAAAGAACUAGGGGAUGUCGGUCGGGCCUUCAAUUUCAAUUUUACAAGCCCACCCACACCCCCACCCCUACCCCGUCUUUGGAGUCCGCCUCUCCCACAUCCUCAGCCGAGAACGACGACACGUAUUGUUGAGAGGGUAACGACCAUCAAGCCGGAUGAUGGAACAGCUCCGUCCACCCAGCCAUCCUAUGAGCCAUGGAAACCGGUCUCUCGGUGA